GUCGCCAUGGGAAUGUGCUGUAGGGGGAGGCAGGUGUUGCUCGGAGCGCCAGCCUCUGUUCCUAUGCAGGCAGGGCCAUCAGGCACCAGAAGGAUUUUGCCAGCAUAGUGCUCCUGGACCAGCGAUACGCCCGGCCCCCUGUCCUGGCCAAGCUGCCGGCCUGGAUCCGAGCCCGCGUGGAGGUCAAAGCUACCUUUGGCCCCGCCAUUGCUGCUGUGCAGAAGUUUCACCGGGAGAAGUCGGCCUCUUCCUGAUGGGCAACCACACCACCGCCCGGCGCCGUGCCCUUCCUUUGUCCUGCCCUCUGGAGACAGUGUUUGUCGUGGGCGUGGUCUGCAGGGAUCCUGUUACAAAGGUGAAACCCAGGAGGAGAGUGUGGAGUCCAGAGCGCUGCCAGGACCCAGGCACAGGCGUUAGCUCCCGUAGGAGAAAAUGCGGGAAUCCUGAAUGAACAGUGGGUCCUGGCUGUCCUUGGGGCGUUCCAGGGCAGCUCCCCUCCUGGAAUAGAAUCUUUCUUUCCAUCCUGCAUGGCUGAGAGCCAGGCCUCCCGCUUGGUCUCCACAGGAGGCUGUGGCAGCUGUGGCAUCCACUGUGGCAUCUCCGUCCUGCCCACCUUCUUAAGAGGCGAGAUGGAGCAGGCCCAUCUGCCUCUGCCCUUUCUAGCCAAGGUUAUAGCUGCCCUGGACUGCUCACUCUCUGGUCUUAAUUUAAAAUGAUCCCAUGGCCACAGGGCUCCUGCCCAGGGGCUUGUCACCUUCCCCUCCUCCUUCCUGAGUCACUCCUUCAGUAGAAGGCCCUGCUCUCUAUCCUGCCCCAUAGCCCUGCCUGGAUUUGUAUCCUUGGCUUCGUGCCAGUUCCUCCAAGUCUAUGGCACCUCCCUCCCUCUCAACCACUUGAGCAAACUCCAAGACACCUUCUACCCCGACACCAGCAAUUAUGCCAAGGGCCAUUAGGCUCUCAACAUGACUAUAGAGACCCCGUAUCAUCAUGGAGACCUUUGUUCCUGUGGGAAAAUAUCCCUCCCACCUGCAACAGCUGCCCCUGCUGACUGCGCCUGUCUUCUCCCUCUGACCCCAGAGAAAGGGGCCGUGGUCAGCUGGGAUCUUCUGCCACCAUCAGGGACAAACCGGGGGCAGGAGGAAAGUCACUGAUGCCCAGCUGUUUGCAUCCUGCACAGCUACAGGUCCUUAAUUAAAAGUGUACUGUUGGUUUCUGCUGAGUUUUUCAUUGAUAUGUGCUGCUGUUUUCUCUGGAAGCCUCUUUAGGGAAUCG
Molecule: long non-coding RNA, 1272 nt
Filed under: Homo sapiens (human)
Lineage: Eukaryota; Metazoa; Chordata; Mammalia; Primates; Hominidae
Description: HSALNT0185427
Source: RNAcentral